CCUGACUCUCGCGGAAGAAGCGUUCAUCCGCUGCUGUGUCGUCACUUCCACGGACACACUGUCGCUGACGAGUCUCCGACCUCCACCUCCGACCUCCGACCUCUGCCUCCUUUCAGUUACACAGCCAGGAGAACCUCCGUCUCCUCCCAGGUAACUUUCGAAAAUGACAAACAAAAGAAUGCGAAAGUUAAUCCAAAAUAGACAAAGACGAUCUGGGAGAGAAGAAUCUAAGUAAUAGAGGAGUUGAUGAUGAAAAUGAAUCACAAUACACAACAUCUCAUUCACCAUUGGAGAUACAAAAUGAGGAGGUUAAUGAGCAAGUUGAAAAUGAGGUCAUAUUUUCAUCCCAAAGUUAGCCAAGAAAACGUGACAAGAC
Long non-coding RNA from Zingiber officinale, 376 nucleotides. RefSeq lists it as uncharacterized. The transcript has 3 exons. The record is from RefSeq and is a predicted model, not a curated record. Lineage: Eukaryota; Viridiplantae; Streptophyta; Magnoliopsida; Zingiberales; Zingiberaceae.